This 253-nucleotide ribosomal RNA is filed under the name uncultured bacterium. RNAcentral's name for it is "partial 16S ribosomal RNA". It matches the Rfam family "Bacterial small subunit ribosomal RNA", at positions 524 to 776 of the family's 1533-position model. The record is from RNAcentral.
UACAGAGGUCUCAAGCGUUGUUCGGAUUCAUUGGGCGUAAAGGGUGCGUAGGCGGCGCGGUAAGUCGGGUGUGAAAUCUCGGGGCUCAACUCCGAAACUGCAUUCGAUACUGCCGUGCUUGAGGACUGGAGAGGAGACUGGAAUUUACGGUGUAGCGGUGAAAUGCGUAGAUAUCGUAAGGAAGACCAGUGGCGAAGGCGGGUCUCUGGACAGUUCCUGACGCUGAGGCACGAAGGUCAGGGGAGCAAACGGG